CCUAUAGGGAUGCAGUGCAGUGGUCUAACUCUGCGAAGUGGCUUGGAGCCAUUAAAUCCAAAUUGAAGUCCAUGAAAAUCAAUAGUAUAUAGACGCUAGAUGAUUCACCUGAAGGGAUAAAACCUAUUAGGUGUGAAUGAAUUUUUCAAAAGGAUCAGAGUAGCGCAGACGGGAAGAGGGAGACCUAUAAAGCCUAUUUUUUCUAUUAUCCC
Molecule: long non-coding RNA, 212 nt
Filed under: Elaeis guineensis (African oil palm)
Lineage: Eukaryota; Viridiplantae; Streptophyta; Magnoliopsida; Arecales; Arecaceae
Description: long non-coding RNA (EGUI_LNC048206)
Source: RNAcentral